UUCCAGACUCCUACGGGAGGCAGCAGUGGGGAAUAUCGGGCAAUGGGCGCAAGCCUGACCCAGCAACGCCGCGUGAAGGAAGAAGGCUUUCGGGUUGUAAACUUCUUUUGACAGGGAAGAGUAGAAGACGGUACCUGUCGAAUAAGCCACGGCUAACUACGUGCCAGCAGCCGCGGUAAUACGUAGGUGGCAAGCGUUGUCCGGAAUUACUGGGUGUAAAGGGAGCGCAGGCGGGAAGCCAAGUCAGCUGUGAAAACUACGGGCUUAACUUGUAGACUGCAGUUGAAACUGGUUUUCUUGAGUGAAGUAGAGGUUGGCGGAAUUCCGAGUGUAGUGGUGAAAUGCGUAGAUAUUCGGAGGAACACCGGUGGCGAAGGCGGCCAACUGGGCUUUAACUGACGCUGAGGCUCGAAAGUGUGGGGAGCAAACAGGAUUAGAUACCCUGGUAUCA
This 451-nucleotide ribosomal RNA is filed under the name uncultured bacterium. RNAcentral's name for it is "bacterial SSU rRNA". It matches the Rfam family "Bacterial small subunit ribosomal RNA", at positions 329 to 795 of the family's 1533-position model. The record is from RNAcentral.